UACGGAGGGUGCAAGCGUUGUUCGGAAUUAUUGGGCGUAAAGCGCGCGUAGGCGGGACGCUAAGUCUGGUGUGAAAUCCCUCGGCUUAACCGAGGAACUGCAUUGGAUACUGGCGACCUUGAGUCCUGGAGAGGGUGGCGUAAUUCCCAGUGUAGAGGGGAAAUUCGUAGAUAUUGGGAGGAACACCGGUGGCGAAGGCGGCCACCUGGACAGUGACUGACGCUGAGGCGCGAAAGCGUUGCUAUCAAACAGG
This 253-nucleotide ribosomal RNA is filed under the name uncultured bacterium. RNAcentral's name for it is "partial 16S ribosomal RNA". It matches the Rfam family "Bacterial small subunit ribosomal RNA", at positions 524 to 776 of the family's 1533-position model. The record is from RNAcentral.